CACCCUCGGCUCACGCGAAGCCGGAGCGGAGAAGAGUCCGUCUCUGCCGCUGUUUCUCCUCCUGCCGGUGCAUCGUCCUCCCCUCAGCCCCAAACCGGAAGUGGCAGAACUAAAGCCCAUUCUCUCACUCACAGAAACGCUCGCCUAUCAACAACCUUCAGCCCGCCCCCUGACUUCCGCUUUGGGAAGUUCCACGUCCCGGCAAGACCUACCCAAAAGGGGGGGGAGGAAAGAGCAUCGUGACGUCACCAGCAAGGCAUGCCGGGGUUUGUAGUCUCUCUUGAAGGGAGCGGGGACCAGAAACAUAGAAGUGUGCUGAGGGAAAGCUGAGGUGAAUUUUUCCCCCAGAGGGAAGGAGAGUGACCUCAUGCUUUUCAAUCACCUCAGAGGAAUGGAAGUAGCCAAGUUUGCCACCCUUUGGACCACAACAGGUGAAAUCACAUUGUAGAUAACCCGCCUUUCUGAAGUGCAAUGAAGAAUCCAGAAUGAGGAAUGGCUGGGGAACAGGAGGCUAAUCAACCCCCUGGGAGGAGUAAUUGUCCUGGUUCAUUUAAGAGAAGUCCAUUCUGCAGAUGUGCCUUCAAAAUAUUAAUGCCUUGGAGGGGAGCACAGCACAUCCCUACAAGACAUCCUCUUAGGAGUCCUGCAUAUAGGAAACUUUAUCCUGUCAUCAGCAUUUUGUAUACAGUAGUUGCAGCUACAAGAGAUGGUGCUUUCUUUCCAGCAGUUGUUCUUCCAGGAGAGGCCUUUGAAGGAAUAAUAUAAAAUUUAAAUCCAAACUGCUGAAGAAUUCUGUGGCAGGGUUUUGUUGUCUUGCAAGUAGAAUUACCAAUCUGCCAAAACUUGUUCUCAGGCUUGAGACCAACUAACAUUAGUGCCACCUCAAAUUUAUUUAAGUAAAUGAUGAAUGAAGUCUCAGGAGUGAAGUUUUAUCUCACUAUUAUAUCCUCUAAAGUGAAUUUUCCUGAUAAUGCAAUCUCUGCAAGCACUUCUUGAACAGUUAAAUUAAUUCCUGGCGAAUGGGAAAGUGUUUUGUCACAUAAGCAAAUCGUAACUGUCUGUAUAAAUAACAAUAUGCAAUUUAAGCUCAAAUCACUUUUUUCUUGUAAUGUAACACUGAAUUUUUAACCUGUAUAUUUUGAUUAAUGAUUCUGAUGUGCUGCACAUGCUGAGAAGUAGGUUUGAAGGGGGAAAUUAUCCCAACAUGAAAUGAGAUAAAUAAUUAGUAAAUGAAAUAUUUUAAAAGCUUGUUUUUAUUUGAGAAGAACAAGUAGAAGUACUAUAGUAAUGAAUGAUAGGUAGUAUCAAUAGUUGUUUCACUCUAAUUUGAAAAUCACUGAUAGCAUGAAAUACAUUUCAGUUAAAGCAAUGAGCUAAGAUUAAAUGUGUAUAAUCAUCUUAAAUCUGCAUGCAUUUUAAUCUGGAUGAUGGAUUGAGGAUUGUCAUAGUAAAUGUAAAAUAAAAAAUGAAUUAUCUUAAAAACUCUUAUGUUUUGAUUUUUAAAAAAUGCAUAAUUGAAUUCAUGAAUCAGAUCAAAUACCUAUCUAAUUAAGCCAUCUCCAAGGUAUCUCACUAUGUGCAUAAUGAAAAUAUAGGUAUUCCAAAAUCUGAAAAAAUCCAAAAUCUAAAACAUUUCUGAUCCCAAGCAUCUCAGAUAGGGGAUAUUCAACCUGUUUUGCACUUUUACUUGCUCACAUUCUUUGGAACAACCUCAGUUGAAUCAUGCUGCUGGUACAAGUAGUUUGGCUCUUUAUGUCUCUCUAGAACCUCUAAAUGUUGCCACUUAUUAAACAUUAUUUUACUUUAAUUUUGUAACACGAAGAAUUCAAAUAGAUCUAAUAAAUAAUAACACUAGCCAACACACAUUUUGAUGCUAUAAAUGUUAGACCUGUUUCUGGGUAUAUUUGAUCUGCUAAGUCCAAAAAUGACUCCAGUCUACUCCUGUCAGCUUUCAUUUUUAAAAUGCAAACCAUCUACCAAUGUUCAUCUAGUUGUCCAUAGACAGUCAUGAUAACCAUAUCUAAGAAACUAGAGCUGAUGCAUUCUAGCCAAUGUAAUUUUCUGAAUCAGCACCCCAAAUAGCCCCAGGAACAGUCCUAAAAAUCAAGGCACCAAUACAUUUUUGGGGGUUGGGCUGUGUCAUAACAAUAUAUUUUUUUAUUUAUUACCCACCUCUUCUAAUGGGUCAAGGCGGGAUACAACACUGCCAAAACACAUCAACAUAAAAUACAUACAACAAAAUAAAUAUAUUAAAACACACCAUUAUAAAAUACAUACAUCAAAACACAUGGUACAAAAAACCAAAUACAAUGCUAGUAGAAUGGAAAUCAUGGUUCAAAAUUGACUGGGUAGGCCUGCUGGAAGAGAUGGUCUUCAGUUGUGUUUUAAAUUCUGACAGCUCAUUUAUCUGCCAGAUCUGCCCAGCAGGUCAUUCCACUUUUUUCAAGUGGUCAAUGAAAAGGUCCUCUUGGUGAUGGUUGCCAGUUGGAUUCAGGCUAGUUACAGAAAGUGUCCCCUAGAGGACCUCAGGGUCCUAAGGUGGGGGGAUUAUAUGGACGAAGGUGGUUGUGUAAUAAUCAUCACAUUAGAUAUUCACAAUAUGCGGUUCAUUUCACAUACGUACUAACAUGUUUUCCCUUCCAUCUUGUUCCAAUUAGAAGAAUAAAAGGUUAGCUUUUUAUGCCCCUACCUGAGUUCAAUAUAUUAUAAUAAUCUAUUCUGGUUAAGGAUGAGCCUUAUCCACAGAAUUGUUGUAACAUCCAGUUCUGCCAGGUAGCAAACAUUCAGUGGGAGAUUCAGUUUCCCUUAAGUGUGACAGAGAGCUCUAAGCAUCAAGAACACCAAAGACUUGGGUGGAGAUUUAGACAUCAUGUGCAGCUAGAAUCUCCCUUGAUUGCCCUACCAGGGAUAAAAUGAUUGCCUUGCCUUGUGUUGUAUUCUGUUGAAAGCUUCUUUGAAAAUCAUUUGAUCAAAAGGCUGGUUGUGAAUCUUGAACUAUUUUAAAGCAUUUGUGUGAGUCACCUUUCUGCUCAGAAAGAGACUGAUGUGCCACAAAAUUAAAAAUUAAAAGCAAAACACAGAUGGCACAAUUUGGUAAUGAUUAAAAACAACAACAGAUAACUAGUAAUCUCAAAUGCCUUGGAAAAUAGACAUGUUUAAACUAAAAACAAAAAUGUAAAAUAAGGGCAUCAAUUGGACCUUUUUUGCUAGUACAGUAGAGUCUCACUUAUCCAACACUCACUUAUCCAAACAUUCUGGAUUAUCCAACGCAUUUUUGUAGUCAAUGUUUUCAAUACAUCAUGAUAUUUUGGUGCUAAAUUCGUAAACACAAUAAUUACUACACAACAUUACUGCGUAUUGAACUACCUUUUCUGUCAAAUUUGUUGUAUAACAUGAUGUUUUGGUGCUUAAUUUGUAAAAUCAUAACCUAAUUUUAUGUUUAAUAGGCGUUUCCUUAAUCCCUCCUUAUUAUCCAACAUAUUUACUUAUCCAAUGUUCUGCCGGCCCGUUUAUGUUGGAUAAGUGAGACUCUACUGUAUUCAUACCAUUCUUUAAGGCAUAUGUUUGACAACAUAAUAACAUAUUAACAAGAGCAGGCAAAUAAAAUACAAUUUUGUCAUGACCUGUCUUAGUCUAUAGAAUUAUUCCAUAGGAUUCCCUUAAUUAAACCAUUUCUGCAGAAACAACGGAGUAGAAAAAAUGUUUUCUAUCUGCUAUAUGUGAAUGUUUUUACUGUUAUUAAAUAUAUAUUGGGACAUUAUAAUUGUGGCUCUUCCACAGUUAUGGAAUUCAUAAAUCCUGCAAAGGCAAAACCUCUGAUGGGAAAUUUGUGAAGGAUCUUUGGUUGUAGUAAAUGGGUUUUUAUUGGUUAACAUCAAGGUGAUAUAAAGUCAUUCUAGUGCCUUUCAUUUACAAGUAGCACAGUAUGUCAGCACUUUUCACAUUUGUAAAAAUGGUAGAGAAUUAGAGAGCUAAAUCAGAUCUUUUUCAAAGGUUUGAUCUGAGCUAAGUUAGUUGUGCUUGGGCCCUU
This 4030-nucleotide long non-coding RNA is filed under the name Anolis carolinensis (green anole). Its description in RNAcentral is "lncRNA (ENSACAG00000035488.1)". Lineage: Eukaryota; Metazoa; Chordata; Lepidosauria; Squamata; Anolidae. The record is from RNAcentral.